This 492-nucleotide unclassified non-coding RNA is filed under the name Zea mays. Its description in RNAcentral is "misc RNA Zm00001eb033070". Lineage: Eukaryota; Viridiplantae; Streptophyta; Magnoliopsida; Poales; Poaceae. The record is from RNAcentral.
CAACGCCAACAACACAUACAUCUGUAAGGAAGAAAAGAUUAUCGACUGCUGAAUGUAGAUUUUUCUUUAAAGAAACACGUAGAAUGCACCUUCUUCACACUGAAUGUACAAACCAUGGUUGCUUAUACAUCCUUCUAUUGGUACGAAGGUACAAAGAGAGAAAAACAAACGGAACUAGGAAAACACACACUGCACUGCUAGUGAACCACCUGUUCUAUGAUUGGCGCUAUAACAUAGUACACAAUAAAGUAAACGCAGUAGCUUGCUACAUAGAGCCAAGUAAAGUAGUGUGUGCGGCACUCCCACCUGUGCAGUCCACCAAAGAGGGAGAAAAAUAGAACUUGUGGACGUAUUUCGCAGAAACUGGCGAAGAGCAUGCCAACAAAUCGUGAAAAGCUAGCAAUAGGCCCUAUGAACUGUCCGGCAAAGAGAUGCCGGCACACAUACACAAGAAUGAGAUAUGAGAAGAGCGCGCGCGGGGGUGAGGGGGCG